UACGUAGGGAGCGAGCGUUGUCCGGAAUUACUGGGCGUAAAGAGCUCGUAGGUGGUUUGUCGCGUCGUCUGUGAAAUUCCGGGGCUUAACUUCGGGCGUGCAGGCGAUACGGGCAAUACUUGAGUGCUGUAGGGGAGACUGGAAUUCCUGGUGUAGCGGUGAAAUGCGCAGAUAUCAGGAGGAACACCAAUGGCGAAGGCAGGUCUCUGGGCAGUUACUGACGCUGAGGAGCGAAAGCAUGGGUAGCGAACAGGAUUAGA
Molecule: ribosomal RNA, 260 nt
Filed under: uncultured prokaryote
Description: partial 16S ribosomal RNA
Rfam family: Bacterial small subunit ribosomal RNA
Source: RNAcentral